CGCCCGGGCCCAGUACCCGAGUGCCCCGGUCUCUAGAGGGCUACGGAGCGCGUCUGCCUCCAGGACCGGGUAUUUGACUGAGCAGCCUGCGAAGUAGAGCGCGGAAGGUCCGCAGUGGGUGCGGCGCGGCGCAGUCGGGGCUAGCCCACUUGCUCAGCGUAGCUUUUCUAGAGCGUCGGGGGUCUCGAGGGGCCGGGGUUGGACAGCAGCUGCGCGACUCCGAGGGACUCUUCUCUGCAGAUCCAGGCCCGCACCUAUCUGCAGAUGUUCUUCCAUAGAGCAAUUCUCUGCACUUCUUAGAAACAACUGUUGCUUAUACAACUGUUGCUUAUAGCAGAAGACAGCCUUUAUCUCUUCCAGUGAUCCACAGACUUGAUGAAAUCAGUUCGGGCCUCAGAGAGAAGAUGAAUUGUAAGCAAAAUUCAAAAAUCACGAUUCUGGGGAAAAAGACCCCCAAAUCCAGAGCCCUGUAGUACCAGCCCUGCUAGUUCAACUGAAGGCUGCAGCAUGCCCUGAUCUAAACGGGAAAACACAACAAGGAAAAUAUCAGAAGCACAAGCCAGAGCUGUUGUCCUCCUUACUCAUCCACUCAUCCAUCAAGAUAAGUCAGAGAUCAAAAGGAAUUCCCUCUCCAUCCUCCAAGAAAGACACUUGAGGAGACAAUUAGUAACAUGGUGAGAGGAGCUGGAUCUCAAGUCCCCAAAGCACAAAGUAAGAAGCAGCCAGCUCUGCCAAGAGACAGGAAAAAACCCUGACUGGACCUUCAGAGACAGAUCAGGAGGAUCAAGGAAACUCCAAUCGAGCACAUCACAUGGGUAAAGUCUUCAGACUCUAUGCCUGGUCUGCAGGACAGUGGGCUAGCAAUUCAUAACGGUUGGAGCCUGGGUCAGGAGGGAGAGGAGCCCGUGUGGCUUGGGGAGGUGGCUGUCAAACAACCUGCUGAGGGACUUGAGCUUCAUUCUGGAAGACACAGGAAGAUGUGGCAGGGUUUUGAGAAGGGGUGUGGCUUUGCAAAGACUUCUUUGGCAGGAAGGAAAGUGUGCUAGGUUUCCACAGCAGCCAGCUUAUCAACGUUCCUCCAGCCCUGCUGAAUUCAGAAUCUCAGGACAUCUGUUCCUCCCGCCACCUUCCUGAUGGCCUACUCGUUUUAUUUUGAAGCACAUACAGUAUCUCUUCGUUUCCAGCAUCGUCCCCAUUAUCCACUACUUCCUCCCAACCGCGCUUUCUAAACUGCUGAGGAUGGAAGAGAAAGCAGACUGGACUUGCAGUAUACAUUUCACACUCUCAUCCAACAAGCAACUUAGCCGCUGACACACUGCCAGCUGGUCCCAUCAAGUCAGGUGGCAUGGGUCACCCAACAAGCUGCCUGUUGGAAUAGCUGGCUGUUACAUAGCCUGUUAAGAACCAGGCGAACAAGACCACCAAAAUGUGGCAGCUGCUGUCCAGACAAGACACCUUCAGGCAGAGCUGGGUGCAGCCCGGUGACUCGUGCAGACAACAUCUGGGUUUUAGUUGGAAGACGGCCUCUGCAUUGGAUGAAGCUCUUCCCACAGAAUGGCCUCUUCUCUGGUCUGGAAUCUGCUAGGACUCCAUCUUCCCACACUGGGUCCAUGCAUGGUGUCCAGAAGAUCAAAUCCUAUAUGUUGGAGUGUAUGCGUUCUGGAUAAGUUACGGAAAAGGCACAAGGAGGCAGAGGGACCCGAGGUCCCAGGACCUCAGACACAAGAACUGAUUUCUUAGCAGUGUAGCUGGUCUGUUUCAACAUAGGUAUCAGUUUUGGUGUUCUGUUUUCUCACAGCACCCCCACCAGUAAUGAAAGACUGGGCUAUUGUAGGGAACUCACACUGUGAUUGUGGAAGAGGGCUAUCCCACAGCCUCUGUGAACAUCAAGAAGACAAGGUUCUCUCAGGAACUUCUUUUGAGGGUCAGUGAGACAUUGGGGAAAUAUAAAAUACCGGACAAUGCUUCCUUCUCACCACAAUACAUUUCUGGAAGCCACAUGGAAAAUCCUAAAAUUGAUCUUCCCCGUGGGAUCUGUGUUAUAAUUGGACACUGCAUUCUUGACCAGAGACUUGGCAUCAGAUAAAUCACAGAUACUAAAUAUGUCACAGAGACAAGGACUCACAGUUUAAGGCAGUUGAGUUCUUAAACUCAGCUGAGCAUCAGAAUUGUCAAAGGAGAUUGAAUAAGAAAUACUGAUGCCUAGGUCCCAUCUGGAACCAGAUGAAGCCAGAUUUCCAUGGGUGGGUCCAGGUAACCAUUUAAAAAAAUAAUUUAGAGCUUUGUAUUUUGACUUAUCAAGAACCAAGAACAAAUAUAGGGAAAAAGUGUCAUCGGCACUUAAAAUAUUAGAAGGAGCCACACGGGAAAACAUGACAAGGGAGGAGGAAACUGCUGUCGUCACAUUUACUGUUAAAAACUGCAGCAAAUAAGAACAGUUUGGAUGAGAGAAGAAAAGGACAAGUCAAUUUUGAUUCUCUAAGGAGAAAGUCAGACCACCCCACCCCAUUUGAACAGUGAACCAUUGCUUUCUGUAUCCACGGUCCAAGGCUGACCUUGUCAGGGUACCAAUUCCUAAAGCUGGUGAGUGGCUAUUGUAUGUUCUCGUAAGUCUUCGUACCUAGGCCUUGUCAAGGAGUCUGGAAAAGAACAGGGACAGACCCUGUCCUUGAGGAGUCUCAAGAAGAGAGGAGCAUGGCAUUACCGAGUUAGGCACCUAGUCGUCUGGAAGCGUGGGAAUCCUGCAUUGCCACAGCAAUUGUAUCUGAAAUCGUCCUAGCCAGACAAACCAAGGCGACCAUCUCAGGGCUCUUCCCUUCCCCUGACUAAAGCCUAGAGGGUGUCACAAGCGAGCCCAGUCUCUGCCUUCCUGGAGGUACAGUCAGGGCAAAGAGGAAGUCCUUCCAGAGGUUGAGUGUCCACCCAGGCUGUCUCUGCCAGGGCAUGGAGUGUGGGCUGGGAGAUCGUCACAGAUCUGCACAGUCAGGGCAGGAGCACGGUUUCUCUUUCAGAUUCCAGCUCUUGGAAUGAACUCUGUGAUUACAGGCAGAGCGUUUUCACAAUGCCCCAACGCCUCAGUAAUUUCCCUUUAAAACAGAAGGGCAAAAUCGAUCCCCCACCUACUCAAAAGAUAUGUGAAAUAUGAUUUUUUCCCAUAAAACUAUCUCAGCAUCCUUAUUAACAUUUUUGAACUUUAAGGGUCAUAUGUAUUGACCAGAAUUCAGAAAUGCUGGAGGAACUGUUAAAAAAGAGAAGAAAUAAAAUUCACCUGUAAUUAUACCCAGAAGCCCAUAAUCAUUUUAAAUAUAAUGAAACGCAAUGAAAAAUGUUCUCUAUCUUUAGUUUUCUAGGCUUUUAAAAAUAGAAGAGCUUAAUAGUGAACAUUUCUGAAUGUUAUCAUAAAAUAUGGCUUAAAACGUACAGACUUGUGGGUCCAGACUACUCAUUUUUUUUUUACAUCAUAGUUUAUAUGUUUGUUAUAAGGGAUAUAAUAUGAAUUUUUUAAAAUGCAGAAGAGGAAAUAAUGCAAGGCAGUUUUUAAAAAACGUACUUUUAUUUACAACAAUACCCUUGGAGUUUUUGUUUCCUUGGGAGGGGUUAAGAAAAGAUCCCUCCAUAUAGCCCAUGCUGGCCUGGAACUCAUUCUGUAUACUAGGCUAGCCUUGGACUUGUGGGAAAUCUGUUUCUUUGUGGUUGUUGUGUUGUUUUCUUUUUUUAUGCAGACAAAAGUUGGAAACAAAGUCAGAAACAGAAAAUGAGAUUUAAAAAAAAACAAAACAAACCCAAGGCAAUCUUCUUUUGAAAGGUCAGUUCAUUUACUUACAGGGAAGCAGAGAUCUUGCAGCAAUUGCUGUAACUACAUUCCCAUUGACUUCCUGGUGGUGAUUUUUAUCUUUAACACCCCCUACUGGUUUGCCUGAUGGUUUUAGGGUUAUUGUUUCCCUCCCCCUACCCCUUAAAAGUUCUUUUCAAAAACUUUUAUUAGUUGUCUGUCACCUUUCUACUCCCUGGUUUCUUAAUUCUCCUUGGAAAAAAAAAAAAAAAAGCUAGAACCUGAUCUAAUGGCACAAGUCUAUAGUCCUAGCACCCCAGAGGCUGAAGCAGGAGGAUAUUGAGGUCAGCUUGGGCUACAUGAUAACUUGAAGACCCUGUCAAUAAUGAUUAUUAUAAUGAUAAUGAUAGUUGAGAGGUAUCAGUAACAAGAACAAAACACUUGCAUGUCUCUUCGUAUAAAUCCCUUCCCCACAGCCCUCCCUCCACAUGCAAUAAACAGACCUUUACGGAGCUUCAUAAUCUGCUGCAUGACUCAUGCAUGCAUCCAAGGUCACCAUGGGCCUUACAUCUCUGCAUACUUAGGGGUAGUUAUCUAAACACAAAUCAGGAACGUGUGGAUUCACAGGGUGUUAAAGCAGGGCAGGGACGCCUUAUGAAUAAAGUUCCAGGAAGAUGGGCUGAGGUAGACCUUAACCUAGAGGUUGUUUCUUUCACCCAAGUGUUUGAUAGCAGGCUCCAACUGUGACUUUAAUUCCUUCAUGGAGGUCACUAUUUGAGGAGAAGAAGCAGGAAACUGCUGUGUGGUGCUUAAUUCUUAGCUGUCAGGCUGGUAGGUUUUAGAAUCACCUACAAGACAAACCUCUGGGCGUGGCUGUAAGGAAGUUUCCAGAGAAGCUUCAUGGAGCCACAACUCAGUGAGCUGGAGACGAUUCGAAAGGAGAAACCAAGCUAAGCACCAGUGUUUGUCUCUCUCUGCUUCAGACUGCAGAUGCCCUGUGGAUGGCUACCUUCCUCUCUGUGAUGGACUGCACCCUUGAGCCAGCCCAAAGAAACACUUCUUUCCCUGAGUCACAUUCACCGGGCAUUUUUUCACAGCAAAGAGGAAAGUGACUAACACAAGUUGUUACCCCAUUUCUGCUAGAUCUGGGCUCCUUUCAUUAGUCAACAUGACAUGGAUUGAACACCCACUCUGCCCUACUACUGAUCUACAAUGAAGGUGCCGGAACAAGGAAGUUAUGGGAACAAGACAGAGUUGGUUCAAAGAGAUGAUCGACAACAGCGCAGACAUGAAUGAGCAGGAUAAUGCAUGAUGACAGCCCAGUGAAGACCAUAAAGCAGAGGAUCCGGGGGCCAAGGAGAAUAUGUCUGCCCUGUGGUCAGGGAGGUCAACUUUUGGGGAAGUAUUUAACAUUGUCCCUGAGGCCUGUGCUUUGAAUCUUCUUGGCCCAUUUCUUAAUAUCAUGGCUCUCAUGACUUGAUCUUAGUGCCUUUCCUCCGCCAUUUCAGCUGUAGGACCCCAGGAAGGCUUCUCAGAGCCUCCCACAGCAAGCCAUAUGCUAUCCUACUACUUAUAAACCCACACUCUAUAAUGGUCCUUCACUCUGGCACCUCAUUAUAGAAAGUAGGAUGAAGUUGGCACCGAGAAUGAUUCCUAUUUGCUUCAGCCACAGUAAUCUCUUCAUUUUCUAAGACUUCAGUUAUGUGUGUUCAAUCAUCAUGGGAAAAUAUUGAAAAGAAAAUUAUUAGAAAUAAGCAGUUUAUUAAUUUAAGUGACUUUUAUUAUAGCAUUUUGUUAUAUGGCUCUACUUUGUUAUUAGUUGUUGGUAAUCAUUUACUAUGCUUUAUAAAUUAUUUGUCAAUAUUAAUAUUUGUUUAUAGGAGAAAAGAGUGCAUAUAGGAUUUGAUGCUAUCUGGGUUUCAAGCAUUCACUGGGGGUCUGGGAAUGGAUCCUCUGAGAUAAAAGGGGCAUGUCUCUUUUAAUACGCAUAAGGUUUACACUGCAGUACUGCUAAGUUCACUUUACUAUUUGGGACUCUGCUGAAAUUAUCUCUUUGCAGAGGAAGAGUAUCUCACCACCCACAUCAGCUUCCUCCUUCACCCAGAACAGAUUCCCAGAAAAUAAAAGUUCCUAAGACUGUUCUAGAAAGUUCAGAGACACAGAUGAGAACUUUGCUCUUUAAUCAUGCUUCAGGAAUGCAGGUGUUAUCUGUACACACUAUUAUCAAUUGUCUUUGAGAUCGCUGGCUAGAGUAAGCUUGGUCAUGAUUUCUAAUCAUUAGAGAUAGGUUGGGAGUUUUCAAUUCAUUUAUUCUCUUUAUUGUAGCUAAUUGAAGAAUACGUUGCCUUUGGAUUCAAAUAGCCAUUACUGGUUCUCUUUGCCAAGCCCUAUGCAAGACAUAUCUCCUUGGGAUUUUGUGAUGGCUUAGUGCUCUGUGUCAGGGAUAGAGAGGUGAGGCUCAGGUGAAUUAAGGGCUAGCUCAAAGUCAAAUGUAGGGGUAGAAACACGUGCAAGUCUUCUGACCCCAGUACAUGGACUUGCAGGCUGGAGCUCUCCUACCUUUCUUUUUACACACAGUAUUGACUCACAUCUUGAGGAAACUGAGGUUAAAUGUAAUGCGCAAGCAUUCAUCUUUGUAAAGAUUUGUUUCAUUGGGACCACUGGUUACAAGUGAAAGCUACAGUGGAUGUGUCCAUGACAUAGAUUAAACACGAUUACAGAGGAGGUGGUGUAUCCCUCACAUCUUGACUUCUCUUACGUUUAAUAUAACCCUGAAGAGGACACAGAAGUUCAAAUAGAGCAUAUGGCAUUCAUAAGGUUACAUACAUGUAAUCAUACAUGAUACUUUUAUUGUAAAUAAAAAACACUAUUUAUAAUGGCAACAAGUGCAUUAUACAGAUAAAACAUAGGACUGCAGCUUCAUUAUUUAUUAAAGGAAAGAAAAAAAAUCUACACAAGUGAUCGGGGAAACAUAGUCUUACUCUGGUGGCAUUUGUCCCUAGAUUGUCCCUAGAUUGCUUUACAGAUUUCAUCACAAUUCAAAUCAAAAUCAUAGCAGGAAUUUGUGGGAUUGUGAUAAACUCAUUUUGAGUUUUCUAUGAAAGUAAUAAAGGCUUUUGAGUAAUCAACACUGAAAAAGAAAACACAGGAAUGGGAGCACUCGACUAGUAAAUGAGACAUUGUUGAGAAGGUGCAGAACAAACAAAUAAACCGAUGGAGAAUCCCUAAAGCAAGGUCACUUGUGCUGCAGUGCACUGACAGAACUCAACACAGCAGCUGUUCUUCAUCGGAGAGGCUGCGACCAUGUAAAAUCAGGAAAUCUUCAAGAUCAGGCCUGUUGACCACUGAUGCUCCCUUACAGGGGAAAAGGUGGAGAGAACAUGGGGAAGCUUAUUACACCUUCUCUUGAGACUCCAGCUUUUUCUUCCUGAACCUCCCAGCCAGUUGUAUAUAAUUCUGUUCCACCUGCACAUGGUCUCAUAGUCUUGGGAGUAUACAGUCUGUGGCAGGCUAGUGGAAGGGAGUGACUCCAUAUUUGCAGUGGUGGGGAAGUCACCCAUCAUUGACAUUGGGAGUGGUUGUGUGGCUACUUUGGGGUCAUUAAUAUACCUAUAAAUAAUUCUUCACCCAUGCUCUGUAAGUAAAAAUAAAGUUAUUAACUCAC
Non-coding RNA from Rattus norvegicus (Norway rat), 7436 nucleotides. Lineage: Eukaryota; Metazoa; Chordata; Mammalia; Rodentia; Muridae. The record is from RefSeq and is a predicted model, not a curated record.